Molecule: small nuclear RNA, 107 nt
Organism: Myotis lucifugus (little brown bat)
Lineage: Eukaryota; Metazoa; Chordata; Mammalia; Chiroptera; Vespertilionidae
Source: Ensembl
GUGCUCACUUUGGCAGCAUAUUUACUAAAAUUGGAAUGAUGCAGAGAAGAUUAGCAUUGCCCCUGAGCAAGGAUAUCGUGCACAUUUGUGAAGCAUUCUAUAUUUUU